Molecule: long non-coding RNA, 345 nt
Organism: Onychomys torridus (southern grasshopper mouse)
Lineage: Eukaryota; Metazoa; Chordata; Mammalia; Rodentia; Cricetidae
Exons: 3
Source: RefSeq, a predicted model, not a curated record
GAUGUGCAUCUUCAGAGCUACAGAAUGUUUUAAUUAUUGAAGAAAGAGUGGGUUUCACCGGGAACGUCAUUUGCUUCAUAUGCCAUCAGAUCACUCAAGCAAUGAAAAAUGUUAAAGAUUCAUAAAGUCCGUGAGAUGGAAGCCCUGACAGCACAACUUCCAAGGACUGCUACAGCACUGAGGUUUUUAAAUCUGGAUUUCUGACAUUCAAAUAUACUGUUGAACAAAUCAUGCAUGACAACUUCACAUGGAGGCUUCAUCAGCAAUCCUGGUACAUAAAAGAUACUAAACAUUGACGGAUGCCAUUAGUGUAGCCACUAUAGCUGUGGCUGUGUGCCGGAACAG